GACGAACGCUGGCGGCGUGCCUAAUACAUGCAAGUCGAACGAAGCUUUUUUAACUGGUGCUUGCACCGACUUAAACAACUGAGUGGCGAACGGGUGAGUAACACGUGGGUAACCUGCCCCAAAGCGGGGGAUAACAUUUGGAAACAGAUGCUAAUACCGCAUAACCACAGAAACCACAUGGUUUCUGUGUCAAAGAUGGUUUCGGCUAUCACUUUGGGAUGGACCCGCGGCGUAUUAGCUAGUUGGUAAGGUAAUGGUUUACCAAGGCAAUGAUACGUAGCCGAACUGAGAGGUUGACCGGCCACAUUGGGACUGAGACACGGCCCAAACUCCUACGGGAGGCAGCAGUAGGGAAUCUUCCACAAUGGACGAAAGUCUGAUGGAGCACCGCCGCGUGAGUGAAGAAGGUUUUCGGAUCGUAAACUCUGUUGUCAGAGAAGAACGUGUGCGAGAAUAACUGUUCGUGCAGUGACGGUAUCUGGCCAGAAAGCCACGGCUAACUACGUGCCAGCCGCCGCAGUAA
This 523-nucleotide ribosomal RNA is filed under the name uncultured bacterium. RNAcentral describes it as "partial 16S ribosomal RNA". It matches the Rfam family "Bacterial small subunit ribosomal RNA", at positions 28 to 523 of the family's 1533-position model. The record is from RNAcentral.